CAAAAUUAUGAUGUAAAGUGAAAUAUCAAGGUAAUCUUUUACAAUGUUCUUCUCAUUACCAAUUUCUUCUCCAUGAAGAAAACUAAAAUACAUUCUUGAGUUUGUCCAUUGGUUGUCUUUGUUAGAUUAAUUUAGAGCGACCUAUCAGAAAGCAUUUUUGACUGAACUUCUUCUGUUCCGUUCAGCCUUACCUUAUUGUAGACACCCUGCAGAUCCAGUUUUCUACCACACUUAGAAAUGCAGCAACUUCUAGAAAGUUUGUAAUUUUAUAGUUGCAGAUAUAUUGUGAUGAUUUUUGCAUACAAAUUACAAUAGAAAAGGUGGGAAAUAUUUUAUGCUGACCAGUUCCUAACCUUUCUAAAAUAUCACUGUGAAGAAAUGCUCUCGAGGCAAAACUUACACAAAGCAAUGCUAAAUAGUUUGUUAAUGGUUACUACAUUGAUGAAACUGUGUUCUUUAAAACUGCCAGCCCCACCCUCAUCACAUUUGUAAUUUUAAAAAGAAGAAAAGAAAAAAAAAAGGUAACCUAAUGCAUUUGCCAUGUAGCAUUAUGUCUCAGCUUUACCCUGAUUCAUUCUUUGGAAAGUCAUGGAAUGCAAGAACUGUUUAACUUUCCUUUGAUAAGUAACUUGUUGGAAGGAAAAUACUAACAAUAUACUUAUGACUACUUCACUCUACAACCAGAUGUUUCUUUUAAAGAUAUUCAAUGGUUUAUGCUGAAUGCAGCACUACAAUAGAUUGCAAAAAAAAAAAACCCAAAAACUCACAACUUCAUAUGUAUUUAGGAGGGAAAAAUGUAAAAUAAAAUCAAAGUCAAUGACUCAUGAUUUUGUAACUCGUCUUCUUUAUAUGCCCCAAAUGCUACUUAGUUACAGAUACUUGCAUUGUCUGGAUUUUGUUUCUGAUUUGACUUUCCAGAGUCUGUAUCUAAAUAUUUGGCUGCAGAACAUCACUUUGUCAUUGUAACUUACAGCCACAGCUGUGAGGAGACUCCCUAUGUGCCCAGGAUCAAGACGCUGUUACAUUGUUGACUGUGUUUUGCAAACAUGCUGGUUUAGUAUGUGAGGAGCAGAGCGAUUUAGUGCCAUCUCUCUCAACCAUUCUGCUUCUGGAUCUGAAAACACACAAGCUGGUGAGAUUGACUAAUUUGUGUUCGAUCUUAGGCGACUGCUUUGUUAAUGACUUUUCCAAAUGCCUAGUAUGAUGCAAUCGCUGGCAUAUGCAUUAAUAAAUGGAUGUAUAUUGAGCUCAUG
This 1253-nucleotide long non-coding RNA is filed under the name Rattus norvegicus (Norway rat). RNAcentral describes it as "long non-coding RNA NONRATT027830". The record is from RNAcentral. Lineage: Eukaryota; Metazoa; Chordata; Mammalia; Rodentia; Muridae.